CUGGUACUCCCUCAGUUCAAAAAUACUUGUCAUCAAAAUGGAUAAAAGAGGAUGUACCUAGACGUGUUUUAGUUCUAGAUACAUCUCUUUUUAUCCAUUUUGAUGACAAGUAUUUCCGGACGGAGAGAGUAGUAU
Non-coding RNA from Triticum aestivum (bread wheat), 135 nucleotides. Lineage: Eukaryota; Viridiplantae; Streptophyta; Magnoliopsida; Poales; Poaceae. The record is from Rfam.